GCUCAAUUCACUACCAGGUUCUGUAGCUGCAUCUCUCUGUGUGUGCUCGGGUGGGGUGGGGACAGAGGUCAUCACUGCGGCAGUGUGGAGCACCCACCCCCAGAAGAGCAAGGCCAAGCAUGCGUGGUGAACUUGGCCUCGAGAAUGGAGACACACUGGGAAAGCGAGGGUUAACUUUUCCAGGCCUGGGACAGCCCGCCUCCUUGUGGAAGAGACCCUGGGCUGGCAGGGUGGGACCAUCUUUGUUCAGCCCCCUGGGUCUAGACAAAGUGGGUCAUUUGGGAUACCUCUGAAUGCCUGGCGUGUUCCACUCAGGUCACUCUGGCUGCUGUGAGGAAACUAAAUUGAAGGGGACAAGACUGGACGGCGAGGGACCAGCUGGGAAGCUCUUGAGAAAUGAGAGGCGAGAACAGGAUGUUGGGAAUUACGAUCGCCUGACUGCACGUUGGCAACCCCCGGGGAGAUUUUAAAAGAUGCUGCUGCCAUGACCUCG
This 493-nucleotide long non-coding RNA is filed under the name Equus caballus (horse). Its description in RNAcentral is "lncRNA (ENSECAG00000045322.1)". The record is from RNAcentral. Lineage: Eukaryota; Metazoa; Chordata; Mammalia; Perissodactyla; Equidae.